Long non-coding RNA from Lycium barbarum (goji berry), 390 nucleotides. RefSeq lists it as uncharacterized. Lineage: Eukaryota; Viridiplantae; Streptophyta; Magnoliopsida; Solanales; Solanaceae. The record is from RefSeq and is a predicted model, not a curated record. The transcript has 2 exons.
GUUGUUUCCUCCAGUGAUCCACCUGCAACAAAUAUAAUCAAUCAGGGACAUUUAGCUCAAUUGAUGCAACUUCUACAACAAGUCAAAUUGAAAAAAGUGGGCCACCUCUAUCUGAUGCAAGUAUCAAUAAAACUGUGCUGGGCCCUUCCGUGAAGAGCCAUAUGGAAGUUGGUGAAGCUAAGAAUGGACUCUACAUUUUCCAGUCAAGGCCAGUUCAGUCCUAUUUCCAAUUUUCUAUUCCUAGCAAUUUCACUUCAGUUUCUAGUCUAAAUCAAGGCAUAAUGUUGUUCCUAGUUUAUCUUGUUCUUUUCCAACUGUAUUUGAGAUGCUAUGGCAUUGUAGAAUUGGUUAUUUUCCCUUUUAUAAUAUGAAAAACAUUAGUUUUCUUUC